Molecule: non-coding RNA, 550 nt
Organism: Nicotiana tabacum (common tobacco)
Lineage: Eukaryota; Viridiplantae; Streptophyta; Magnoliopsida; Solanales; Solanaceae
Source: RefSeq, a predicted model, not a curated record
CCAACGUUUGAAGAUGAAUUCUUCAAUAUGUGGAGUUUUAACUCAUAGUACCAUGCAGCCUCAAUCCGGAGCGUAAGAAAGAGUCUUUGGAGAAAUAUUUGGGGACUUCUCCACCUCAGCAGUAUAUGUAGGUGGGUAUGCAGCUUCACUCUUAGUUGUCUUUGGAGAUAUAUUUUGGGACUUCUCCACCUCAGCAGUACAUGUAGUGGGAAAGUUUCAUCAUCAGGAGCUCCAACAAAAUUGCAAGUCAGCUUUAGUUUUGUAUAGGUGUACAGAUUGUAGGACAAUUGUUCAGAUUAUUUAAUUUGAGGAGAUAGGUAAUCAUGUAAAUAACGUACAUAUAUCAGAGUGGUGAUCUUAUUUUUUACUUAUACGGCCGACCAUGCCAUUAGUUUCAGUGUCGUAUGUGUAAAUUGUAAAUAUAUUGGUUCUCUUAGUUUUGCUGGCAGAAUUGCCAUCUCAUCUGUACAACAUUAUUUGUUGUAAUUAUCCUGUGUAUAGGUGUUGCCAAAAAAAAAAUCAUGUAUAUACAUGUGUAUCCUUUCUGCCC